RNAcentral lists this ribosomal RNA (253 nucleotides) under uncultured bacterium. Its description in RNAcentral is "partial 16S ribosomal RNA". It matches the Rfam family "Bacterial small subunit ribosomal RNA", at positions 524 to 776 of the family's 1533-position model. The record is from RNAcentral.
GACGUAGGGGGCCAGCGUUGUUCGGAAUUACUGGGUGUAAAGGGUUCGUAGGCGGUGCGGCAAGUUGGGAGUGAAAUCUCUGGGCUUAACCCAGAGGCUGCUUCCAAAACUGCUGUGCUUGAGUGUGGGAGAGGCGCGUGGAAUUGCAGGUGUAGCGGUGAAAUGCGUAGAUAUCUGCAGGAACACCCGUGGCGAAAGCGGCGCGCUGGACCACUACUGACGCUGAGGAACGAAAGCGUGGGGAGCAAACAGG